AGCAGGCAUCUCUGUAGGCCUUGAGACGUAGUCCCGUAAAACUCAUCCCGUUUCUACUUGAUUUGCUUUCUUUGAGAACUCUUGUUUACUUUUAUAUGGAGGUUUCCCUCCUUGGAUUAAAACAUAAACCUCAAUCUGAAGUUCCAUUUUAUCUUAAUUUAUGAACGACUAAGAGAGGGAACAUGAAAAGUGGAGAUCCGAGAUCAGCUUGUUGUUGGACAGCUGAUUCCAGACUGCUAUGUAGAACUUGAGAAAAUCAUUUUAUCGGAGCGUAAAAACGUGCCAGUUGAAUUUCCUGUAAUUGACCAGAAAAGAUUAUUACAACUAGUGAGAGAAAAUCAGCUGCAGUUAGAUGAAAAUGAACUUCCUCACGCAGUUCACUUUCUAAAUGAAUCAGGAGUCCUUCUUCAUUUUCAAGACCCAGCACUGCAGUUAAGUGACUUGUACUUUGUGGAACCCAAGUGGCUUUGUAAAAUCAUGGCACAGAUUUUGACGGUGAAAGUGGAAGGUUGUCCAAAACACCCUAAGGGAAUUAUUUCGCGUAGAGAUGUGGAAAAAUUU
This 561-nucleotide small RNA is filed under the name Pongo abelii (Sumatran orangutan). Its description in RNAcentral is "processed transcript". Lineage: Eukaryota; Metazoa; Chordata; Mammalia; Primates; Hominidae. The record is from RNAcentral.